CGCCUUUUGAUUUAUUAAUAUAAAAGGUCCUGCCUGCCCAGUGACACUGUUCAACGGCCGCGGUAUUAUGACCGUGCAAAGGUAGCGUAAUCACUUGUCCUUUAAAUGAAGACCAGUAUGAACGGCAAGACGAGAGCCUAACUGUCUCUCCCCACUAGUUAAUGAAAUUGAUUUUUCCGUGCAGAAGCGGUAAUAUUAUUAUAAGACGA
This 209-nucleotide ribosomal RNA is filed under the name Thorius adelos (Sierra Juarez moss salamander). RNAcentral's name for it is "partial large subunit ribosomal RNA". It matches the Rfam family "Bacterial large subunit ribosomal RNA", at positions 1817 to 2083 of the family's 2925-position model. The record is from RNAcentral. Lineage: Eukaryota; Metazoa; Chordata; Amphibia; Caudata; Plethodontidae.